RNAcentral lists this long non-coding RNA (1797 nucleotides) under Nicotiana benthamiana. Its description in RNAcentral is "long non-coding RNA (NBEN_LNC040692)". The stretch from base 249 to 319 matches the Rfam family "MIR6151 microRNA precursor family". Lineage: Eukaryota; Viridiplantae; Streptophyta; Magnoliopsida; Solanales; Solanaceae. The record is from RNAcentral.
AAAACCCUUUCCAGCCCAAACCCGACCCAUUCCCAUUCACAAAAACGAACAGACUCAGAGAGCCUUAAAUCCCAAGCGAAUGCAAGCCCCAUUUUAGUCCAAAUCCAUGGCGAGUGAAUCCAACCUCCAACCACGCGUUCCCUCCUCUCCUCUUGCCAUUUCUAACGGUUUCUGACACCAAAGAUUCCCCUUCCUUUCAGUCGCUCGAUUUUAAGGUAAGACACGCAAUUGGAAGGUCCUAGAGAACGAUUCGUUGGAUGAGUGUGAGGUGUUGGAUGGAUUUCACUCAAUCCAACCCCCGCAUUGAUCAGGGGUUCGUUUUCAAAAAGGGCCCAUUCCGAUUUUGCAGAAAAAGGGAUUUUCGGGGAAAAAUCAGUAGAGGAAAAGGGUUCUGGGGUUCUUCGACUUUUCUGGGAGAUUUGUCUCAUCUUCCUAUGCUCUCUUUAAUUUCGAUGUCGAUUCUCUAGUUAGUUUUGAUGUUGAUUCGUCGGGAUAAGAAUUGGAGUUCAGUUAGCUAAUUUGAUGUUAACUUGGUUUGAAUGUUUGAGGUCGUAUUGAGAUUUCUGUGUAUUCAGUGUGUCAAUCGGAAGUUGAUUGAUCAUUGUGUUCCUGCUUAUGAUUAAGUAGUCGAAAGUUUUCAGCCAUUAGAGGAGCAUGUUUUCUUUGAUUUCAUUUCUGUUUAAGGUCUAGGGUGUUGAGUUUAGAUUUUUCUUUUAUUAUAAUCUUUGAAACAGGUUCACAAAUAAAACCACGUUUUCGUUGAAAUAUGUGUAAAUGUCUCCAUGAGGCUUCACUUCAUUCAAAAUCGAAGUUCAUAUUGGAUAUCUCUGAUUUAGUAUUGAGACUGUAAUUUCGUUAGCCAAUUUAAGGAAGAUAAAUGUGAAUUUCCAUGGGCUGUUGUUCCUCAUGAUUUUUUGGGAUUGAGUGAUUUUCUUCAGUGAUUUGGUGUUAUUGAGUCGAGCUUUUAAGCGAGCUUGUUUGCCUUGUGUGCUCCAUUUCUCUGUAUAAAGCACAUGUUAGUUUUGUUAUGCUCUCCUAGUCACUGUUAGUUAAUAUGGAUUGAUCUCUCCUGGGAAUGUCUUUCAAGCAUGUCAUUAGUAUAAUAGAUGCAAAUUGAUUGAGGUUAAUCAUUCAUGUCAUGGAUAUUGUUUGGUUAAUGAGAAGAAGUAUGUAAGUAUGCAUGUUGGAUAACAUUUAGCUUCAACUAUAAGACCACAGAGAUUGAUGUUCACGUUUCCAGCAGCCAUUUCUGUCCUUGGGCUUCUUGAACAGGAUUCAACAUAAAAUUGUGUAGUAGUAUGGCUUUAUUCUCUUUGAAAUCAGUUUGCAUUUUUGCCAGUCGAGCUCAUGUGUUUUUGUGUCUUAUUUUCCUAGCAAGCCCCUGUUUUGUAUGGCUGAUUGCAGGCUUAAAAUGUGAUAAUAAGUGAUGCGAUUGUCUAAUAUUGAAAGAGGAUUCCAUGUAAAUUGUGAGGCCUCAGUCUUGUUUGAAAGGGAACUAGCUAAGUUCAGUGUGAAUCUUGCUCAAUUUAAAGUCGUUUUGUUAAGAAGUUGAAAUGACGUUCUCUUUCGCAUACUGAUUUUUUUGGAUCUGUCGUUUGGAUUGCUCUAGUUUUUUGUUAUUUUCUCUGUUGCACUUCAUGAUUCAAUCCUUAUUUGAACAAGUAUCACUUGCUUUGGAAUUCUGGAUGAGCGUCGGAUUUAGGCUUAUACAAAGCCAAAUGAAUGUGAGAACCAUUUCAGUUUCUGUCAGUUGAUUUUAGCCAAUUUUUUGUUGUAGUUUAAAGAUUCUAUACAAAG